This 2868-nucleotide long non-coding RNA is filed under the name Homo sapiens (human). Its description in RNAcentral is "HSALNT0275125". The record is from RNAcentral. Lineage: Eukaryota; Metazoa; Chordata; Mammalia; Primates; Hominidae.
CCGGCCUUGGCCAGCCCAGAAAGGGGCUCCCACAGUGCAGUGGUGGGCUGAAGGGCUCCUCAAGUGCUGCCAAAAUGGGAGCCCAGGCAGAGGAGGCACGGAGAGCGAGCGAGGGCUGUGAAGACUGCCAGCACGCUGUCACCUCUCAAUGUGGCUGAUAAGGUAGACUUGGGUGGGGUAGGGGCAGCCCAACAACCCGUUCAAAGAGCUUGAGGCACGUUCCUCUUCUGCUCUCACCGCUUUUCCUUCUCCCUGGUGCUGCAGAGCAUCCCACAGUUUGUGUGCACUGCCUCCCCACACUCCCUCCUCAUCUCACUCUGCCUGGCUCAUGUCUCCACCAUCCCCUCUUGUGGCUCCUCAGGAGGCUGCCCCUGACCUCCAUCUUCCCCAGGGCAGUAGGGAAUCACCCCAUGUCGCCUCCCCUGGCCUCUUGCAUGUCUUGACACAGAGCAGCACCCUCUCUCAAAGCGCUUCUUCUCCAGGCCUUCCAGGCCCACAGCCGACCCAUAAGCUCCUCUCUCAAUGGCUACAGCCUCCGCCUCCUGUACUGCCUCCUCCUCCUGUUCUCUAAUUGUCCUGGGUCUUUCCACCACUUCUGUCUCCACAUUGUGGUCCUAGGCUCCUCCACCCCAGGGCUUUAAGAACCACACACAUGCUAAUGACUCUCACCUUUGACCUUCUGCUGAUCUUCCAGCUGAGCUUCAGACUCAUAUGCACUCCUAGGCUACGUGCUCUCUUGGUGCCCAACAGGUCUCAAACUUGACAUGUCUAAAACAGAAGACUUGCCUGUAGUUCCAGCUACUCGGGAGGCUGGGGCAGGAGAGUCGCUUGAACCCAGGAGGUGGAAGUUGCAGUGAGCCGAGAUCAUGCCACUGUACUGCACCCUGGGUGACAGAGUGAGACUCGGUCUCAAAAUAAAUAAAUAAAUACAUAAAUAAAUAAAACAGAAGACUUGCUUCCCUACCACUCCAAACCCAUUUAUUCCCUAGUCUCCUCCGUCAUACUAAGUGAAACCACUCUACCCUGUUGCUCAGGACGAAAACCUCACCCUGAACUCUUUGCUUUGCUUUUCUCUAACAUCUCACAAUGAAUCCAUUAGUAAGUCCUCUUCUUUUUUUUUUUUUUUCAAGACAGAGUCUUGCUCUGUCACCCAGGCUGGAGUGCAGUGGCACAAUCACGGCUCGCUGCAAGCUCCGCCUUCCGGGUUCACGCCAUUCUCCCACCUCAGCCUCCCGAGUAGCUGGGACUACAGGCGCCCGCCACCAUGCCCAGCUAAUUUUUUGUAUUUUUAGUAGAGACAGGGUUUCACCAUAUUAGCCAGGAUGGUCUCAAUCUCCUGCCCUUGUGAUCUGCCCACCUCGGCCUCCCAAAGUGUUGGGAUUACAGGCGUGAGCCACCGCGCCCGGCCAGUCUGCUCCAUUUUUUUUACAUUCAAAAUGCAUUUCCCACUGCUAACUACCUCCACUUCCUCCCCCCAGAUCUAGGCCACCCUCCUCUCUUCCAUGUACCAAAACCCCUACCUAUUCUUCCUAUCGCCGUUCUUGGCCCCCUCUAGCCCAUCCUGUACAAAGCAGCCCAAGAAUGGCCUUUCUAAAGUAGAUGCCACAUCACAGGACUCUUCCCCUUAAAAAACCCAACAGAAUCCAAACCCUUUCUGGUGGCCUGCAGUGACAGAGCUGACCCUGCCGGCGUUUGCCGCUCUUUUCCCUCCUCUCCGUUGGUCGCCGUGGCACUGUCCUAUGGGCCUUCUUUUUGUCCCCUGAACACACCAAGCUCUUUUCUGACUCUGAGCCCUUCCACUCAAUGGUCCAUGCUACCUAGCAGCCCCCUCACCUUUCAGGCUGCAACUUUGACACCUGCUCAGACAGGCCUGCCCUAACCUUGUGGGCUAAAGGAGCCCCACAUCACUCUCUAGCUGCAGUUUCAUUUUGUUUUGUUUUUGAGACAGGGUCUCACUCUAUCACCCAGGCUAGAGUGCAGUGGUGUGAUCAUAGCUCACUGCAAGCUCCGCCUCCUUCCAUGAUAGCCUCAAACUCCAGGCCUCAAUGGAUCCUCCCUCCUCGGCCUCUCAAAGGUCUGGGAUUACAGGCAUGAGCCACUAUGCCCGGCCUCUAUCUGCAUUUUGUGUUCAGUGUACACUUAUCAGUACAUAAAUUAUCUUGGCUAGUCGUCAUUUCUGUUGUCUAUCUCCAACCACCCCCGAAGCCUUUCAUCUCUAGCUCCCAGAGCUGGGGACUUGUCUUGUUUACUGCCGUAUUCCCAAUGCCUAGAGCUCAUGUGGCAUGCAGCAGGCACUGGCUAUGGGUGGAGGUCUCCAGCUCUGCUCCAGCUCCUGUCCCACACGAUUGCUGGCCACAGUCCUCGAAAUCAAUUUCGUGACACAUUAAUGGGUUGUGAUUCUGAGUUUGUAAAUAGUUGGUCUGUUUGGACAUUGAAGUUACCCACGAUGAUGGCAAGACUUGGAAUGAAGUGGUGCCAAAGUCUUCAAUGAAUAUGGAGGGGCAGAGGCACAGCUCCAUGCAUUUGUCCUCGUGAAUGGCCUGUGAUUUCAGCACAAUCUAUUAGGGAAGAACUAAGUAAACUGCCCUUCUUCACGUGCCCCAGCUCCGUAGUCUGAUCUGGAAAAGGGGCAGGGGCACGGGAACCUCAGCAGCAGGUGACUGUGGCCUCCAGACUCUGCCAUGCUUCCAAAAGCUCCAGCCAUCUCAUGGUUGCAAGAAUCUCCCAGAGGGAGAGGCCAUGUCCAAGGCGACGGUGGGUGGGGUUCAGCCUCCCAGGCUAAGGCUGGGAACGUGCCUUGCCCAGAGGAGAGGGCAGGGUGGGAGGCACUGAGGGCAAGGGUCAGGGCUCCCACAGAGCCAGUGUGUG